This 460-nucleotide ribosomal RNA is filed under the name uncultured bacterium. RNAcentral describes it as "partial 16S ribosomal RNA". It matches the Rfam family "Bacterial small subunit ribosomal RNA", at positions 338 to 795 of the family's 1533-position model. The record is from RNAcentral.
CCUACGGGAGGCUGCAGUGAGGAAUAUUGGACAAUGGACGAGAGUCUGAACCAGCCAAGUAGCGUGAAUGAUGACUGCCUUCUGGGUUGUAAACUUCUUUUAUAAAGGAAUAAAACGAGGCACGUGUGCGUUUUUGCAUGUACUUUAUGUAUAAGGAUCGGCUAACUACGUGACAUCAGCCGCGGUAAUACGGAGGAUCCGAGCGUUAUCCGGUUUUAUUGGGUUUAAAGGGAGCGUAGAUGGGUUGUUAAGUCAGAUGUGAAAGUCUGCGGUUCAACCGUAAAAUUGCAAUUGAUACUGGGAGUCGUGAGUACAGAUGAGGCAGGCGGAACUCGUGGUGUAGCGGUGAAAUGCGUAGAUAGCACGAAGAACACCGAUUGCGAAGGCAGCUUACUAAACUGUGACUGACAUUGAUGCUCGAAAGUGUGGGUAGCAAACAGGAUUAGAUACCCGUGUAGUC